Branchiostoma floridae (Florida lancelet) is the source of this 310-nucleotide long non-coding RNA. RefSeq lists it as uncharacterized. The transcript is spliced from 3 exons. NCBI's taxonomy places the organism in Eukaryota, Metazoa, Chordata, Leptocardii, Amphioxiformes, Branchiostomatidae. The record is from RefSeq and is a predicted model, not a curated record.
GGAGUAAUAAUACAGCGUAUCAGUCGGCAAGACGCAGGUGUUGAUGUCUCAGUCGACGUCCAGUUCGCCGGCAGUGACGCACCAGAAGAGGAACAGGUCGGCACGGUCCUCAUCGCGGCCGCACAGGGAUCAGCACUGGCUGUUGGCGGGGUAGCUAUCACUGACGUGGGAAUAGGGAACGUAACGGAAAAGGGAAACUCAAGUUUGUGUGACUCUUUCACCUGCGCCGAUCACGCCGUCUGCAUUGAGAUCGGUGACGGAGCCAAAUGUGUCUGCCAGCCGGGGUAUGAAGGCAACGGAACUAUUCGCU